GCGAUGGGACUGAAAUAAAGAGCAGCACUAGUGGGGGCUCUCGGCUGGGCUGCCACAGCCCGGUGCCAGGACAGGGAGGAAUGGCCUCACACUGAAAAAGAGACAUCUCACUCGACCUGUGCUUCCAUUUUAAGGGGUGAUGACCUGAAUCUCCCAGGACUGUUCAGGACAUCAAGACAGACCCAAGGCAGACUCAGCCUACACCAUGCAUGGAUCAGUAAACCAGGUAAUCCAGGCUGACUGGAGCACAUUGGCUGAUUGUGGCACAUUCCUGUUGCUCUGCAAGAAUCAGAACAUGCUGAGUUGGGAUGGACCCAUCAGGAUCGUUGAGGACACCCCAAGAAUCCCACGACGUGCCUGAGAGAGAGGCUCAAAUAUCUCUUGACCUCUGUCAGGCUUGAGUCCAUGAUCACUUUCUAUGAGUGAAAUUAAAUAUCUUGACUUGGUUUAUCACCAGUUUCUUCCUUUAGUGAUCCCACUCUGGCUCUCCAGAACUGAAGUUCAUUUUAGGUGGUGCUGCAUCCUUCUGCAGCUGUGUGACUGCACCUGUAUGUGCUGAAAUCCAGUCCUGCUCUGGAAGCUGUUAAAUAGAGAAUAUAUGAAAAAAAUUCAAGUGUGAGAUCCAUUCAAUCAGUGCUAUUUUAUGCUGCCAAGCAAAAGGAAAAGAGAAGGCACUGGA
Molecule: long non-coding RNA, 679 nt
Organism: Cyanistes caeruleus (blue tit)
Lineage: Eukaryota; Metazoa; Chordata; Aves; Passeriformes; Paridae
Source: RefSeq, a predicted model, not a curated record